Long non-coding RNA from Mirounga angustirostris (Northern elephant seal), 640 nucleotides. RefSeq lists it as uncharacterized. The record is from RefSeq and is a predicted model, not a curated record. The transcript has 2 exons. Lineage: Eukaryota; Metazoa; Chordata; Mammalia; Carnivora; Phocidae.
GGUUAUGCUUACAAGUUGGGGGAAGGCAAGAGCUUACCUCAGGGAUGGCAAAUAUGUGGUCUGCACACUGCCAGCCCCCCAUUCCACAUCGUGCCGAUGUGGCCAACAGGUCACCGAUGCACGCUUUCCUUCACGCUUGGACUGUGCCUCAGAAUCCUCAUCACAGGGCCCAGGCCCCCAAAUCCCAGGUCCCUACCCAAGUAGGCACGUGCGAGAGAACUUCUUUCUUAUCCUGACCCCAACUGAUGGGAGUGGUGUAGACUGGCAGGGCAAGGUGUCCCCACUCUGCUUCCUGCUCCCGAAAAUCCUCUGAAAUGUCUUGACCAUUCCUCCAGGAAGCCACCUUGCUGGAGGGCCUGAGCGGGACAGGGAUUGGAAGAGCCAAUCACAUCUCCUCGUCUGCAGGCUUCCCGCCGACCACGAGUGAGGAGGCCCCAGCCCCGGGUGGGACGUGAUAGGAGGGCCUGGGCUUGGCGGCACAGGAUAUCCUUCCCACAAGGGUCCAGGAUUUGGGCCAUCUGCUCAGCAAGAUGCUCCCAGGCAGCACUGUCCAGGUGCCCAUCUCCUUAACCCCAUACGUCCUUGACACUAAAAACUCUCUUCUAAUCAAGGCUAAGUUUAUGAAGCUGCAAGAUGCACG